UAGGAAGACCAGCCUUGUUUCCAGCUUCUGGUUUAUCAAACACUUUUGGGUUCAAGGUUCAGGACAAGCAAGGGAGAAUGCAAAGAUUUAACUGUGAAAUGAGCAGCUUGACAGACCUGAUAACUAGCAUUCUUCAGAGGGUCGGCGAUGACAUUGACAGAAAACACCUGCCACAAAUUUCGUAUGAAGAUGAGGACCAUGAUAAGGUCAUAUUGUCGUCGGACAGUGACCUUAUAGCUGCCAUAGACCACACAA
This is an RNA transcript of Zea mays, 255 nucleotides long. RefSeq lists it as uncharacterized. The record is from RefSeq and is a predicted model, not a curated record. Lineage: Eukaryota; Viridiplantae; Streptophyta; Magnoliopsida; Poales; Poaceae. The transcript has 3 exons.